GGAGAAAUACCCAAGAGGCUGAAGGGGUCGGUCUCGAAAACCGAUAGGAGUGAAAGCUCGCGAGGGUUCAAAUCCCUCUUUCUCCG
Molecule: transfer RNA, 86 nt
Filed under: Erysipelothrix rhusiopathiae ATCC 19414
Lineage: Bacteria; Bacillati; Bacillota; Erysipelotrichia; Erysipelotrichales; Erysipelotrichaceae
Rfam family: tRNA
About the family: Transfer RNA (tRNA) molecules are approximately 80 nucleotides in length. Their secondary structure includes four short double-helical elements and three loops (D, anti-codon, and T loops).
Source: Rfam by way of RNAcentral